This 680-nucleotide ribosomal RNA is filed under the name uncultured bacterium. Its description in RNAcentral is "bacterial SSU rRNA". It matches the Rfam family "Bacterial small subunit ribosomal RNA", at positions 153 to 847 of the family's 1533-position model. The record is from RNAcentral.
GAAACAGAUGCUAAUACCGCAUAAGAUUACAGUACCGCAUGAUACAGUGAUCAAAGGAGCAAUCCGCUGAAAGAUGGGCUCGCGUCCGAUUAGAUAGUUGGUGAGGUAACGGCUCACCAAGUCGACGAUCGGUAGCCGGACUGAGAGGUUGAACGGCCACAUUGGGACUGAGACACGGCCCAGACUCCUACGGGAGGCAGCAGUGGGGAAUAUCGCACAAUGGGCGAAAGCCUGAUGCAGCAACGCCGCGUGAGGGAAGACGGUUUUCGGAUUGUAAACCUCUGUUUUCGGUGACGAACAAAUGACGGUAACCGAGUAGGAAGCCACGGCUAACUACGUGCCAGCAGCCGCGGUAAUACGUAGGUGGCAAGCGUUAUCCGGAAUUACUGGGUGUAAAGGGAGCGCAGGCGGGAUAGCAAGUCAGCUGUGAAAACUAUGGGCUCAACCCAUAAACUGCAGUUGAAACUGUUAUUCUUGAGUGGAGUAGAGGCAAGCGGAAUUCCGAGUGUAGCGGUGAAAUGCGUAGAUAUUCGGAGGAACACCAGUGGCGAAGGCGGCUUGCUGGGCUCUAACUGACGCUGAGGCUCGAAAGUGUGGGGAGCAAACAGGAUUAGAUACCCUGGUAGUCCACACUGUAAACGAUGAUUGCUAGGUGUGGGGGGUCUGACCCCCUCCGUGCC